CAGUAGCCGCGGGAAUACGUAGGGUCCGAGCGUUGUCCGGAAUUAUUGGGCGUAAAGGGCUCGUAGGCGGUUUGUCGCGUCGGGAGUGAAAACCAGCAGCUUAACUGCUGGCCUGCUUUCGAUACGGGCAGACUUGAGGCAUUCAGGGGAGAACGGAAUUCCUGGUGUAGCGGUGAAAUGCGCAGAUAUCAGGAGGAACACCGGUGGCGAAGGCGGUUCUCUGGGAAUGUUCUGACGCUGAGGAGCGAAAGUGUGGGGAGCGAACAGGAUUAGAUACCCCCGUAGUCCCUGUCUCUUAUAC
RNAcentral lists this ribosomal RNA (301 nucleotides) under uncultured bacterium. Its description in RNAcentral is "partial 16S ribosomal RNA". It matches the Rfam family "Bacterial small subunit ribosomal RNA", at positions 509 to 807 of the family's 1533-position model. The record is from RNAcentral.